Molecule: ribosomal RNA, 3353 nt
Filed under: Caldivirga sp. MG_3
Lineage: Archaea; Thermoproteati; Thermoproteota; Thermoprotei; Thermoproteales; Thermoproteaceae
Description: bacterial LSU rRNA
Rfam family: Archaeal large subunit ribosomal RNA
Source: RNAcentral
AAGCCGCCCGGUGGAUGGCUCGGCUCGGGCGCCGAGGAAGGGCGCGGCAAGCGGCGAUAUGCCCGGGGUAGCCGCAGGCAGGCGUUGAUCCCGGGAUCCCCGAAUGGGGCUUCCCACCUGGGCCGAAUAGGCUCAGGUACCCCGUAGGGGGUGGGAACGCGGGGAACGGAAACAUCUUAGUACCCGCAGGAGGGGAAACCAAAAGGGACUCCCCGAGUAGGGGCGACCGAAAGGGGAGGAGCCCAAACCGAACCCCCAUGGGUUAACCGUGGGGGGAUGUGGUGUUUGGGCUUGGGUACCGCCGGGGUGGCCUAGCCGAAGUGGGCUGGAAAGCCCCACCGAAGAGGGUGAUAGUCCCGUAGGCUAAAGGCCGCCUGGCGGAGUCCCAAGGUCCCGGAGUACCACGGCUUGGUUUUGCCGUGGGAAUACGGGGGCCUCCAGCCUCUAAGGCUAAGUACGUCCCGAGUCCGAUAGCGAACAAGUACCGUGAGGGAAAGUGCUGGUUCCCAGGACGCGCAUGGCUUAGUUCAUUCAGCGACCCGCGGUUCAUUGGUUAAUUGUCUUACCUUCACCUAAACCCCACCGGUGGGGUUGGGGAUUGCCUGUAAUGGGCCUUGCCCAAAUGCCCGUUAAGCCGCGGGUCCAGGUGUUACGCAGUUUAGUCAUUGUGUUGCCUUACCUGGGGCCCGCACCCCUAGAGCUGAAAAGAACCCCGCAAGGGGUGUGAAAAGAGCCUGAAACCGGGCGGUUACAGGUGGGGUGGCCCUCAAGGAUAACCCCACCCGAAGGAAACCGGGGCGACCCGGGAGUACGAGGGUGGGGUACGGGGUCACCCCUUACGUCCAGAAACACGAGCCAGGGAGUUCCCACCUGUGGCGAGCCUAAGGGGGUUAACCCCGGAGGCGUAGGGAAACCGAAGGCCCGCAGCCGGGUAACCGGUGAGGGGCUGGGUCUGUUAAGGGCCCGUAGUCACAGGUGGGAGACCAGAAACCGAGCGAUCUAGCCCGGGGUAGGGUGAAGCGGGGCGAAAGCCCCGUGGAGGCCCGCUAGGGGUUCUGACGUGCAAAUCGUUCCCGUGACCCCGGGCUAGGGGCAAAAGACCAAUCAAGCUCGGUGAUAGCUGGUUCCCCCCGAAGCAGCUCUCAGGCUGGCCUCCCCAAAGGGUGCCCACGGGGUAGAGCACUGAUCCGGGAUGCAGGGGCCGAAAGGCUCCGGUCCCGGGUCAAACUCCGAACCCGCGGGCCCCGUAGAAGGGGGGAGACGGGUUCCCCAGGGGUAAGCUUGGGGGCCGAGAGGGAAACAACCCAGACCGGGGUUAAGGCCCCAAAGUGCGGGCUAAGUGUCAAUCUAGAAGGGUGUCCCCCACCGAAGACGGCGGGACCGUAGGCCCAGCAGCAGCCAUCGGCUAAGCAACGCGUAACAGCGGACCCGCUGAGGUGGGGGGCCCCGAAGACGCACAGGGACUCAAGCCCGCCGCCGAGACCCCGGCCCACGGGCCAUUGGCCCGCGUGGGGUAGGGGGGCGUCGCCGUGGGGCAGAAGCCGGGCCGUGAGGUCCGGUGGACCCGCGGUGAAUGAGGAUCCUGGCGGUAGUAGCAGCGAAGAGGGGUGGGAUACCCCUCCGCCGGAAAGGCUAAGGGUUCCAUGGUAAUGAUCAUCAGCCAUGGGUUAGCCGGUCCUAAGGCGGGGCCUAACUGGCACCCGCCGAAAGGGAAACGGGUUAACAUUCCCGUGCCGUGGGGGUAGGUUUGCGGCAACGCAGGCCCCACCCCCGACGCCUCGGGAUAGGGUGAGUGGGGCUGCCGCCCCAUUUAACCGUCGAAGGCCGGGGAGUGCCGUCAUGGCGAGAACCGGCUGAAGACGGUAAUAGCCGGGCCUUGAGCCUGGUUCACCCGACUCCCGGGGCCCAUGAAAAGGGGGUGGGGAACGAGCCCCCACGACCGUACCGAGAACCGACACAGGUCGCCUGGGUGAGAAGCCCAAGGCGGCUCGGGUCACGCCAGGCUAGGGAACUCGGCAAAUUAGCCCUGUAACCUCGGGAUAAAGGGUGCCCGCGGCCCUGGGUAAACCCCGGAGCCGUGGGUCGCAGUGGCAAGGGGGACCUGACUGUUUAACAAAAACAUAGGUCCCCGCAAGCCCGCAAGGGUUUGUACGGGGGCUGAAUCCUGGCCACUGGCGGUACGUGAAACCCGGGUUCAACCGGGCUAAGCGCCGCUGAAGGCCGGGGGUAAACUCGGCCAUCCGCAGGCCGUAAGGUUUUUUAACCUGUCCCGCAUAGAUCAGUAAAGCAAAUCAUGAACUUGAUAGGCACGGAACAUCCCUCUAAAAAAGAGAAGUUCACCUCCCUCAUUUCCUAACCCUCAUCUUUACCCCCAACGGCCUGCGGAGGCCGGGGCCCAGCUCUGACCCUCUUAACGGGGUGUUUUCCCGCACGUGUUUAAAUGUACAUGGGCGUUAGAGUUAAAUACUAAGGUUGUGUUUGUCCUUCUCCAUGGAGUCGGGUUGCGUGGGUGGCGAUAUUGCCAUAGGGUAUGUUGUUGGCUUUAUUGAUGCGGAGGCCAGUUUCUCGGUGUCGAUAAAGUAUCAGCGGGGAUAUGGUCUGAGGCUAGAUCCUGUCUUCAGCAUUUCGCAAUUAAACAGGGAGCCGCUUGAAAUAAUACACGGCGUAAUUAAUGCAGGGAGGAUAAUCAAGAAACCGGGACAGAAACAUCUAUACCUCUAUAUUGUUGACAAUAUCAAAGAAUUAACAGAAUGCCUAAUACCAUUUUUAGAUAGAUACCGGCAUCUCUUGCACUCAAAAGGUAAGGCUUAUAGUCUAUUUAGGGAAAUCGUGAUCUCGCUGUCUAAAGGGGUGCAUAGAGAAAGGGAGGGGAUGCGGAGGCUCGUGGUACUGGCAUACGAACUUUCACAUGUAAACCCCAAGUCACAUAGGAAAAGACCAAUUGAAGAAGUGUUGAAACUUCUUGAUUACGACUCAGUUCUUAGCUCCUAAUCUUUAUCCCUCUUUUUGCGGGGACCCCCGGGAGGAAGGUAGCCAAAUGCCUUGCCGGGUAUGGGCGACCGCGUGGGGUUCCACGUGGUCGUCCUCCGAGAGUUCCGGCGUGCAUGAAUGGAUCAACGAGGUCCCCACUGUCCCAGCCUGGCGCCCGGCGAACCCACCUCCAGGUGCAGAGUCCUGGGACCCCCCGACGGGGCGAGAAGACCCUGUGGACCUUUACUGCAGCCCGCUGUUGGGGUGGGGGAGGGGGUGCAUAGUGUAGGUGGGAGCGAUGAACCACGGUCUCUGGGCCGUGGGGAUGCGUCAAUGAAACACCACCCAUUCCCUCCUCUGCCCCUAACCCUGGGGCCACCCCU